This 301-nucleotide ribosomal RNA is filed under the name uncultured bacterium. RNAcentral describes it as "partial 16S ribosomal RNA". It matches the Rfam family "Bacterial small subunit ribosomal RNA", at positions 509 to 807 of the family's 1533-position model. The record is from RNAcentral.
CAGUAGCCGCGGUAAUACGGAGGGUGCAAGCGUUAAUCGGAAUUACUGGGCGUAAAGCGCACGCAGGCGGUCUGUCAAGUCAGAUGUGAAAUCCCCGGGCUUAACCUGGGAACUGCAUUUGAAACUGGCAGGCUAGAGUCUUGUAGAGGGGGGUAGAAUUCCAGGUGUAGCGGUGAAGUGCGUAGAGAUCUGGAGGAAUACCGGUGGCGAAGGCGGCCCCCUGGACAAAGACUGACGCUCAGGUGCGAAAGCGUGGGGAGCAAACAGGAUUAGAUACCCCGGUAGUCCCUGUCUCUUAUAC